This 497-nucleotide ribosomal RNA is filed under the name uncultured bacterium. Its description in RNAcentral is "partial 16S ribosomal RNA". It matches the Rfam family "Bacterial small subunit ribosomal RNA", at positions 28 to 507 of the family's 1533-position model. The record is from RNAcentral.
GAUGAACGCUGGCGGCGUGCCUAAUACAUGCAAGUCGAGCGAACGGACGAGAAGCUUGCUUCUCUGGUGUUAGCGGCGGGCGGGUGAGUAACACGUGGAUAACCUACCUAUAAGACUGGGAUAACUUCGGGAAACCGGAGCUAAUACCGGAUAAUAUUUUGAACCGCAUGGUUCAAAAGUGAAAGACGGUCUUGCUGUCACUUAUAGAUGGAUCCGCGCUGCAUUAGCUAGUUGGUAAGGUAACGGCUUACCAAGGCAACGAUGCAUAGCCGACCUGAGAGGGUGAUCGGCCACACUGGAACUGAGACACGGUCCAGACUCCUACGGGAGGCAGCAGUAGGGAAUCUUCCGCAAUGGGCGAAAGCCUGACGGAGCAACGCCGCGUGAGUGAUGAAGGUCUUCGGAUCGUAAAACUCUGUUAUUAGGGAAGAACAUAUGUGUAAGUAACUGUGCACAUCUUGACGGUACCUAAUCAGAAAGCCGCGGCUAACUACGUG